UAACAGGAUUUGGGGAGCAGAAAAAAUUCUAAUUAGUCACCUUGGUUCGGAAAAAUGAACAUUGGACCCUUCAUGUCUAUGCAACCUAGUACUACCAUGCAAAACAAAAAUACAGUUUAAAUACUAGCCAAAGCAUCUAUGCCUACACUGAACAAAAUCAAAGUUUCAGCAGAGUUCAACAUAGAUCCAACAGCGAACAAUACGAUAGAAAUCCAGAAAUAAACUUGUAAUCCAG
Non-coding RNA from Pelobates cultripes (western spadefoot toad), 235 nucleotides. The record is from the annotation of a GenBank genome assembly. Lineage: Eukaryota; Metazoa; Chordata; Amphibia; Anura; Pelobatidae.